AAGUGGGAAGGUCUCAGGCCACUGAGCCAGCGAUGGAGCCUCUGGCUACAGGAAGCUGGUGGUUGACAGCAGGGAAGCCCAGAACCCAGAUGGAGGUCCCCCACUUACUCGCAAAGGCUGAAUGACAGCUUGACAGGUGAGUGCGAUGCCCCUCCCCACUCCCAACCUGCCAGGAGUUGUCCUUUCGACAGGGGGAGGGGUCAGUGUGCCUGCAUAUAUUGGGGAAGCAGGGAGCCUGGUAAGCCUCUCUUCACAGCUUCCACUGCAGAGCCUCAUACCUACCUCCAGCCAGAGAAUGCUGCCAUCUCCAUGAAAAAAGCCCAUGUUCGCCAGCUGGAGGAUAAGAUACAACAGGGAGGAGAAGCAAGGUGCCCCUUGUUGACAAUCCCAGAAGCAGAAGCUCAUGCCCAGAAGCACAGCUGCCUAGUUGACAGGCUCAGCUGAGACCAGAAGAAUGGCCCCACCAAGCCCAGCCUAAAUGGCUGACCAUCACAAUUAUGAGCUAAGAAGUUUUGGAUGGUUUGUUAUGCUGUAAGAGCUAACUAAUACGUGCACCCAGUGCAGAUAGGAUGCCAAAAAUUAAUGGCAAGUUGAUUACUAAUUACGUUCUAACAGUGGGCACCCUAAAAGUGCUGACUUUUUUCCCCUGAUUUAAAGUUAGAUGUUUUGUAAUACUGAGAAAUGAAUAAAUACAUGUAGACAUGUG
This is a long non-coding RNA of Homo sapiens (human), 706 nucleotides long. RefSeq lists it as uncharacterized. The record is from RefSeq and is a predicted model, not a curated record. Lineage: Eukaryota; Metazoa; Chordata; Mammalia; Primates; Hominidae. The transcript is spliced from 2 exons.